Molecule: ribosomal RNA, 161 nt
Filed under: Loma morhua
Lineage: Eukaryota; Fungi; Microsporidia; Glugeidae
Description: partial small subunit ribosomal RNA
Rfam family: Microsporidia small subunit ribosomal RNA
Source: RNAcentral
GGACUCAUUAAGACGCGAUGAAUACGUCCCUGUUCUUUGUACACACCGCCCGUCGUUAUCGAAGAUGAAGACAGGCGCGAACGAUCUACCAGAAAGUGAGCGCAGAUCUUUAGAUCUGAUACAAGUCGUAACAAGGUAGCUGUAGGUGAACCUGUAGCUGG